GUUUAGACGCAGCUCGAAUGCCUUUACGCUAUAGGCUGUGUUAAGCAUGCUUCUUUGACAAAAAAGAAAGUCUUUUUCCAUGACAACAGUCGAGACUAUACUAUAAAGGGCGGGGCAGUAAGCUCUCUAUCAACAACAGGGGGCUGUUCUCCUUUGUCAACUCCUUGCUUGUGUCGUUGACUUUGUCAACGCGGACCGGGGCGAGCGGAAUUCAGUAGAGGCUCGAAGAUACUAAGC
This 237-nucleotide long non-coding RNA is filed under the name Populus trichocarpa (black cottonwood). Its description in RNAcentral is "long non-coding RNA (PTRI_LNC004385)". Lineage: Eukaryota; Viridiplantae; Streptophyta; Magnoliopsida; Malpighiales; Salicaceae. The record is from RNAcentral.